UCGGGUCAGCGACUGGGGUGAAGACGUAACAAGGUAGCCGUAGGUGAACCUGCAGAAGGAUCA
Molecule: ribosomal RNA, 63 nt
Filed under: uncultured eukaryote
Lineage: Eukaryota
Description: partial small subunit ribosomal RNA
Source: RNAcentral